RNAcentral lists this non-coding RNA (31 nucleotides) under Mus musculus (house mouse). Lineage: Eukaryota; Metazoa; Chordata; Mammalia; Rodentia; Muridae. The record is from RNAcentral.
UAGAUUGGAUGCCCUGAAGACAGACUUUGUU